RNAcentral lists this ribosomal RNA (701 nucleotides) under uncultured euryarchaeote. RNAcentral's name for it is "bacterial SSU rRNA". It matches the Rfam family "Archaeal small subunit ribosomal RNA", at positions 1 to 708 of the family's 1478-position model. Lineage: Archaea; Methanobacteriati; Methanobacteriota. The record is from RNAcentral.
UUCCGGUUGAUCCCGCCGGAGGCUACCGCUAUUGGAGUUCGAUUAAGCCAUGCGAGUCGUGAGUCCUAGGGACUCGGCGUACCGCUCAGUAACACGUGGGUAACCUGCCCUAUGCUGGGGAAUAACCUCGGGAAACUGAGAAUAAUGCCCCAUAGUUCACCACACCUGGAACGGUGGGUGGAUGAAAGCUCCGGCGGCAUAGGAUGGGCCUGCGGCGUAUCAGGUUGUAGGGGGUGUAAUGUACCCUCUAGCCAUCUACGCGUACGGGUGUUGAGAGACAUCGCCCGGAGAUGGAUUCUGAGACACGAAUCCAGACCCUACGGGGUGCAGCAGGCGCGAAAACUUGGCAAUGCGAGCAAUCGUGACCAGGGAACUCCAAGUGCAUCGGGUAAGACCGAUGCUUUUCUUGACUCUUCAAAGGUCUUGGAAUAAGGGAUGGGUAAGGACGGUGCCAGCCGCCGCGGUAAUACCGGCGCCUCAAGUGGUAGUCGCUUUUAUUGGGCCUAAAACGUCCGUAGCCGGUUUGGUACAUUCGUGGGUAAAUCAAGACGCUCAACGUCUUGAAUUCUGCGAGCACGGCCAGACUUGGGACCGGGUGAGGUGUGGGGUACUCUCAGGGUAGGGGUAAAAUCCUGUCAUCCUGAGAGGACCACCUGUUGCGAAGGCGCCACACUAGAACGGAUCCGACGGUCAGGGACGAA